This 484-nucleotide ribosomal RNA is filed under the name uncultured bacterium. Its description in RNAcentral is "partial 16S ribosomal RNA". It matches the Rfam family "Bacterial small subunit ribosomal RNA", at positions 30 to 507 of the family's 1533-position model. The record is from RNAcentral.
AUUGAACGCUGGCGGCAGGCCUAACACAUGCAAGUCGAGCGGAUGAAGGGAGCUUGCUCCUGGUUUCAGCGGCGGACGGGUGAGUAAUGCCUAUGAAUCUGCCUGCUUGUGGUGUAUAACGUCCUUAAACGGGCGCUAAUACCGCCUACGUCCUGCUGCAGAAAGUUGGGGAUCUUCGGACCUCACGCUCUCUGAUGAGCCUAGGUCGGAUUAGAUAGUUGGUGGGGUAAAGGCCUACUAAGGCGACGAUCCGUACCUGGUCUGAGAGUAUGAUAGGUCACACGGGAACUGAGACACGGUCAAGACUCCUACGGGAGGCAGCAGUGGGGAAUAUGGGGCAAUGGGCGAAAGCAUGAUCCAGCCAUGCCGAGUGUGUGAAGAAGGUCUUCGGAGUGUAAAGAACUUUAAGUUGGGAGGAAGGGAAGUAAGUUAAUACCUUGCGGUUUUGACGGUACCAACAGAAUAAGCACCGGCUAACUACGUG